This 523-nucleotide ribosomal RNA is filed under the name Bacillus subtilis. RNAcentral's name for it is "bacterial SSU rRNA". It matches the Rfam family "Bacterial small subunit ribosomal RNA", at positions 231 to 744 of the family's 1533-position model. Lineage: Bacteria; Bacillati; Bacillota; Bacilli; Caryophanales; Bacillaceae. The record is from RNAcentral.
CCGCGGCGCAUUAGCUAGUUGGUGAGGUAAUGGCUCACCAAGGCAACGAUGCGUAGCCGACCUGAGAGGGUGAUCGGCCACAAAGGGACUGAGACACGGCCCAGACUCCUACGGGAGGCAGCAGUAGGGAAUCUUCCGCAAUGGACGAAAGUCUGACGGAGCAACGCCGCGUGAGUGAUGAAGGUUAAAGGAUCGUAAAGCUCUGUUGUUAGGGAAGAACGGGUGCCGUACGAAUAGGGCGGUACCUUGACGGUACCUAACCAGAAAGCCACGGCUAACUACGUGCCAGCAGCCGCGGUAAUACGUAGGUGGCAAGCGUUGUCCGGAAUUAUUGGGCGUAAAGGGCUCGCAGGCGGUUUCUUAAGUCUGAUGUGAAAGCCCCCGGCUCAACCGGGGAGGGUCAUUGGAAACUGGGGAACAUGAGUGCAGAAGAGGAGAGUGGAAUUCCACGUGUAGCGGUGAAAUGAAGUAGAGAUGUGGAGGAACACCAGUGGCGAAGGCGACUCUCUGGUCUGUAACUGAC